GACGAACGCUGGCGGCGUGCCUAAUACAUGCAAGUAGAACGCUGAAGGAGGAGCUUGCUUCUCUGGAUGAGUUGCGAACGGGUGAGUAACGCGUAGGUAACCUGCCUGGUAGCGGGGGAUAACUAUUGGAAACGAUAGCUAAUACCGCAUAAGAUUGACUAUUGCAUGAUAGUCAGUUAAAAGGUGCAAUUGCAUCACUACCAGAUGGACCUGCGUUGUAUUAGCUAGUUGGUGGGGUAACGGCUCACCAAGGCGACGAUACAUAGCAGACCUGAGAGGGUGAGCGGCCACACUGGGACUGAGACACGGCCCAGACUACUACGGGAGGCAGCAGUAGGGAAUCUUCGGCAAUGGACGGAAGUCUGACCGAGCAACGCCGCGUGAGUGAAGAAGGUUUUCGGAUCGUAAAGCUCUGUUGUAAGAGAAGAACGAGUGUGAGAGUGGAAAGUUCACACUGUGACGGUAGCUUACCAGAAAGGGACGGCUAACUACGUG
This 495-nucleotide ribosomal RNA is filed under the name uncultured bacterium. RNAcentral's name for it is "partial 16S ribosomal RNA". It matches the Rfam family "Bacterial small subunit ribosomal RNA", at positions 28 to 507 of the family's 1533-position model. The record is from RNAcentral.